AUACGUAGGUGGCAAGCGUUGUCCGGAAUUAUUGGGCGUAAAGCGCAUGUAGGCGGUUUGGUAAGUCGGUCGUGAAAAUGCGGUGCUUAACGCCGUAUGGCGAUUGAAACUGCUGAACUUGAGUGCAGGAGAGGAAGGGGGAACUCCCAGUGUAGCGGUGAAAUGCGUAGAUAUUGGGAAGAACACCGGUGGCGAAGGCGCCUUUCUGGACUGUGUCUGACGCUCAGAUGCGAAAGCCAGGGUAGCGAACGGGAUUAGAUACCCCGGUAGUCCUGGCCGUAAACGAUGGGUACUAGGUGUGGGAGGUAUCGACUCCUUCCGUGCCGGAGUUAACGCAAUAAGUACCCCGCCUGGGGAGUACGGCCGCAAGGCUUAAACUCAAAGGAAUUGACGGGG
RNAcentral lists this ribosomal RNA (396 nucleotides) under uncultured bacterium. RNAcentral's name for it is "partial 16S ribosomal RNA". It matches the Rfam family "Bacterial small subunit ribosomal RNA", at positions 523 to 918 of the family's 1533-position model. The record is from RNAcentral.